This 499-nucleotide ribosomal RNA is filed under the name uncultured bacterium. Its description in RNAcentral is "bacterial SSU rRNA". It matches the Rfam family "Bacterial small subunit ribosomal RNA", at positions 32 to 506 of the family's 1533-position model. The record is from RNAcentral.
AAUCAACGCUGGCGGCGUGCCUCAGACAUGCAAGUCGAACGAGAAAGUCCCCUUCGGGGGAUAAGUAAAGUGGCGCACGGGUGAGUAACACGUAGGUAAUCUACCUUCGGGUGGGGAAUAACCCAGGGAAACUUGGGCUAACACCGCAUAAUGCAGCGGCACCACAUGGUGACAGUUGUUAAAGCGGGGGAUUUUAGGACCUCGCGCCUGAAGAGGAGCCUGCGGCGGAUUAGCUAGUUGGUGAGGUAACGGCUCACCAAGGUAACGAUCCGUAGCCGGCCUGAGAGGGCGGUCGGCCACACUGACACUGACAUACGGGUCAGACUCCUACGGGAGGCAGCAGUCGGGAAUUUUGGGCAAUGGGCGAAAGCCUGACCCAGCAACGCCGCGUGAAGGAUGAAAUCCCUCGGGAUGUAAACUUCGCAAGAAUGGGAAGAAUUAGUAGGGGUUAAUACCCCCUAUGAUGACGGUACCAUUUGUAAGCUCCGGCUAACUCCGU